UGAGCGUUGGGCUGUGAAGUUCGUUGUUCUGUCGAACCUGAUUGAGUGAUGUUCUCGCUAACCCUAAUACGGCGGAGAAAAAACCAAGGUCCUCUUCCCCCUUCGAAGGGCGGUGACCUGAUGCGUUUGCACUUCUUCACAUCAGUCGAAACGGUAUGAAUGAAGGCUUCGUGAUUAAUCUCAUUGAUUCACUCCCCCCACUGCGUCGUCUUCAAUGCUUCUUCGAUCUAAAAGGCUGUGAUUUCUUAGUAUAAAUAUGUGGAGGCUAGCAAGCAAUGGGGCAAGCGGCGGAGCAAGCACGGAGCAAGCGGCAGAGAGCUAAUGGACCAAGUGACGGGCAGAUCAAGAUGGAUAGCCAUGGAACAAGUUACGGAGAGUGUGAAGAGAGAGAUAGCAUCGAUUGCUGCAGUUCAAGCUCUCACAUGGGAGCCGAUAGGCUAUCGGACAUGGUGAGUUUAUAAGAGCUGGAAUUUUUUUUAUUUUUUUGUACGAUAAAGGGAAUGAAGGAUUAGUUUAAGGGAAAUUAGGUGAGAUGACGCUACAAAAAAGCAUAAUUGAUUGAGUAGCCAAUUACCCUAACUUUUCACUGUUUCACAUGUCUUUUAUAUAAUAUUGCUGUAUUACCCCUGCUUGAAACCGGAGAAACCUGCUAGAAAAAAAUAAAAUUAAAAAUUACUAUUUUGCAAAAAUAUGUCGUGUCUCUUCCAGAUUCACACCCCUUUGAAUAGUUUCACUCCAGAUUCUCUCCACCGCGUUUUCUCUGAUUACAAUCCCUUGCUGAUUCGCAUUCACAUUCCAAUUUGUGUUGAUCCUUGCCGAAAAGACCUGUGUAGUGGCGAUCACCUCCAUCUAUGCAAACGGCACCAUCUUCCGUCACCACCGUAUGUUCUUCUCUUCUAUUUACUGUAUCAACAACAAAAUCUGUCUCUCUGAUACGGUUAUAUGUAUUAUCUCCAUUGAUGUUGCGAGAUACAGUUACAUUUUUUGGCAGUGGAUGAAGUUGAUCGGAGAAGAUAAACAGUGUCUGUUUAUUUUGUUCUAUUCUAUUCGCAUAUGGAAUAGAAAUGUAAAACAAUAUGUGUUAUGUUUGUUCUAUUCUAUUCGCAUAUGGAAUAGAAAUGUAAAACAAUAUGUGUUAUGUUUGUUCUAUUCCUGUUAUGAAAUGCGAUAUAUUCUGCUA
Long non-coding RNA from Brassica rapa (field mustard), 1180 nucleotides. RefSeq lists it as uncharacterized. The record is from RefSeq and is a predicted model, not a curated record. NCBI's taxonomy places the organism in Eukaryota, Viridiplantae, Streptophyta, Magnoliopsida, Brassicales, Brassicaceae.